CAACUUUAUAUAUAACUAAUAUAGUACAAAGGUGUAGAUUAAAAAAUACACCACUCCAGGCCCUUUUGUUUUCCACGUAAUCAAUAUUGCCAAUAAUUAAGAAGUUCCGGGUCGAGUCCGCUACCGAUACCAAUAGUAUAUUCACCUGUUACCUAUUACCGUAUCUGUACGUUCCGCAUCUGACAGGGGCACCACCAAACGUUGUAUUCAGGACUAAUAUGCUAUAUACACGGGUCAUAACCACAGGG
RNAcentral lists this long non-coding RNA (248 nucleotides) under Mytilus galloprovincialis (Mediterranean mussel). The record is from RNAcentral. Lineage: Eukaryota; Metazoa; Mollusca; Bivalvia; Mytilida; Mytilidae.